GUGUUUUCUGACCACACGCAUGCUCCUGUGCACGUGCGCACGCCCUCAUCGCACAGCGGUGCAGUGGUGUCGUCGUCGUGGGAACGCGCCGUGACAACCUGCUGCUUUGGACUUUUCCAGCUGAAACCACAUUUCUUUGUGGAGGACUGUUGGGCUUAGUGCCCCCCCGCUUUCCUGAGCCUCCCCCUGCCUUCCUCCAGCGUCUCCUGGGAUCUUUCAGUGAAAACUCCUGGAGAAUCAUCUGGAAACUGGAAGGACUUUCGCUGAGCCCACCAUCCUCCUCUUGACCCACUUUGAAACUUCUGCACUGAAGGGAAACUUUCUCAAAUUUGACAGCGUUGGAGUCUGAGAUCGAUGUGGGCCUCGUUACAGCAGCACACCUGAAUGUGGAGCUACUGUUUGAAAUGAGAGUCAAACCCAUUCAGUCCUGAAAUGUUUACAUGUCCUCAUGUCUUAUUUUCUUGUACUAGUUUUUCUGUUUGAUCAGGACAGAGAAAGAAAACUCACGUUACUGUGUUUGGAGUCAAAUCAGCUCAAUGUGAAUGAAAAAAAA
Molecule: non-coding RNA, 553 nt
Organism: Oryzias latipes (Japanese medaka)
Lineage: Eukaryota; Metazoa; Chordata; Actinopteri; Beloniformes; Adrianichthyidae
Source: RefSeq, a predicted model, not a curated record